CCUGAUCACGGGAGUGUCUGCGCGGGGUGGGUGCUGCUUGCUGCAGGCUCGAGGGAGUCGCCAUGCCUACAACACAGCAGUCGCCUCAGGAUGAGCAAGAAAAGCUCUUAGAUGAAGCCAUACAAGCUGUGAAGGUCCAGUCAUUCCAAAUGAAGAGAUGCCUGGACAAAAACAAGCUUAUGGAUGCUCUGAAACAUGCUUCUAAUAUGCUUGGUGAACUCCGGACUUCUAUGCUGUCACCAAAGAGCUACUACGAACUUUGUAUCUUUUGAAUGUAGAAAUAUUUGACUGUACUUCUUGAUGGCAAAUUUUGUUCUUUAUUAAAUUUUUCUGG
Molecule: non-coding RNA, 334 nt
Organism: Castor canadensis (American beaver)
Lineage: Eukaryota; Metazoa; Chordata; Mammalia; Rodentia; Castoridae
Source: RefSeq, a predicted model, not a curated record